GAUGCUCAGAAGUCAGGGCUAAAACAGGCUAUGGAAGAAAUGGAAAAGAUCAAAGCCCAGAGUUUAAAAGCUGAAGCAAAACAGCCCCGAGGCCCGAUGGCUGAGGCGGAACCGGCACCAGUCAUACCAGGAAAUGCCCAACCUCUGCCUCCUGGUCACCAACAGCAGGACGUGCCAGUGCCAGGACACUCCUAGGCCUCCCCCUCCCCGUCACCCUGUCUGUUAUGAGUGAGCGUCUUUGUACGUUUUCUUUUCGUGAACCAAUUUUUCUGCUUAGAAAACUAAUAUCCUGAUUAAUGAAAGGCAAAAACAGCCCAAAACCAUCACGCGUCCCCUGAAUGAAGCCGAUUUAGGGAUCAGAUUUAGCGCCAGUGCCAACCCUCCCUUUAGCUAGCCAAAUCAGCUGAACGAGCCAGAGUUUUCCUGACGGACAAUCACUUAUUUUGUUUUGGGUUUUUCAAACUUCUAUCCCAACAAGGACUCUGUGUCCUCAGUGGGAAAAUUCUCCUUAAAUGAAGGGUUUUGUUUCGGGCACUGUGGUUUACUGUAGAAGAUAUUAUCUACAGCAAACCCCAUCAACAUGUAUUUUUGUUAUUAAGAGAUAAUCUUGAAGAAGAAAAAAAAGAAUGUGAGUAAAGAAUCAUUUUGGUUGAAAUUCCCUUACCCACUUCCUGUUUUACACGUAGCAUUUCUGUUUUGUAGCCGCUGCGUCUUCUGGACCGGACGAUGGAAGAAAAGCUCAUCUCUACACUGUACAUUGAAUUUGAAUUUUUCACAACUGUGACUUCCAGCGACAAAUCUGUGAUACCUGAUGUGGUUCUUUGUGUUUAGUAUGUCCACCACUGCUCCAUAGAGUUCGUGUUGUGUUCAUGAUAAUUUAUUUAUUCUAUAAAUCCACUGGAAAUUUCCUCCCUUCAAGAAGUUUAAUAACAUAAAUGAAGAGUAUGAGUUAAUUCUCAGGGGACUUUAGAUUGUUUUAUUUAAUCAUGAUUUUAUGUUACUUAAACAUUGCAGUAAAACAUAAAACUGGUAAAACUUUUUUUUUUGUCUUCAUUGAUAAGUGUCCUGUGGAAUGAUGUCAUGGUGUACAUGGUUUGACUGUUACUAAUUAAAUGAAUGACCUUGCAAGUGUAA
Poecilia latipinna (sailfin molly) is the source of this 1134-nucleotide long non-coding RNA. RefSeq lists it as uncharacterized. The transcript is spliced from 3 exons. The record is from RefSeq and is a predicted model, not a curated record. NCBI's taxonomy places the organism in Eukaryota, Metazoa, Chordata, Actinopteri, Cyprinodontiformes, Poeciliidae.